This 701-nucleotide ribosomal RNA is filed under the name uncultured bacterium. RNAcentral's name for it is "bacterial SSU rRNA". It matches the Rfam family "Bacterial small subunit ribosomal RNA", at positions 100 to 839 of the family's 1533-position model. The record is from RNAcentral.
GACGGGUGAGUAACAUGUAGGUAUCUGCCCUUUGGCCUGGAAUAACACGAGGAAACUUGUGCUAAUACCGGAUAAGUCUUUACGGAGAAAGCUUUAUGCACCAUUGGAUGAGCCUGCACUUGAUUAGUUUGUUGGUGGGGUAAUGGCCUACCAAGACUGUGAUCAAUAGCUGAUUUGAGAGGAUGAUCAGCCACAUUGGGACUGAGACACGGCCCAAACUCCUACGGGAGGCAGCAGUGGGGAAUCUUGCACAAUGGAGGAAACUCUGAUGCAGCGAUGCCGCGUGAGUGAAGAAGGCCCUUGGGUUGUAAAGCUCUUUCGUCGGGGAAGAAAAUGACUGUACCCGAAUAAGAAGGUCCGGCUAACUUCGUGCCAGCAGCCGCGGUAAUACGAAGGGACCUAGCGUAGUUCGGAAUUACUGGGCUUAAAGAGUUCGUAGGUGGUUGAAAUAGUUGGUGGUGAAAUCCCAGAGCUUAACUCUGGAACUGCCAUCAAAACUUUUCAGCUAGAGUAUGAUAGAGGAAAGCAGAAUUUCUAGUGUAGAGGUGAAAUUCGUAGAUAUUAGAAAGAAUACCAAUUGCGAAGGCAGCUUUCUGGAUCAUUACUGACACUGAGGAACGAAAGCAUGGGUAGCGAAGAGGAUUAGAUACCCUCGUAGUCCAUGCCGUAAACGAUGUGUGUUAGACGUUGGAAAUUUAUUC